Long non-coding RNA from Peromyscus californicus insignis, 517 nucleotides. RefSeq lists it as uncharacterized. Lineage: Eukaryota; Metazoa; Chordata; Mammalia; Rodentia; Cricetidae. The transcript is spliced from 2 exons. The record is from RefSeq and is a predicted model, not a curated record.
CAAUGAUCUAAUCAUAGUGCAGUAGAAACAUGGCAGUUUGAGAAACCAUGGUGGAGACAGCGGCUGAAAUGGAAGCGUAUGUGCUAGAAGACAUUCUGGAGGUCCCGGGAGAUGACUCAGCCUGUGAAGGGAAAUGGCUGCCCAAACUGACAGUCUGAAUUUGAUCCUUGGGACCUGCUUGAUGGAAGAAGGACAGAAUUGAUUCCCACCAGCAGUCAUCUGAUCUCUUCUUCACUUGUGUGCCAUGGGUGCAUUCGAGUAUGUGUGCACGUAAACUUCAGACAUAGAAACUAACAUAUAAAUGAUGUUACUAUUCUCUAAAAAUUGAAAAAUUAGCAAGCUGUAUUAUGCUGUUAUAGUAUCUGAUACGGUUUUCAGAAUCUAAUUUUACCUGAAAGUCUGAAUUUAAUAAUUAACAAAGAAUGUGAAUAGUCUUUCUUGAAAUGACAUUCUUGUUUUGUUCAUUUUGAGAGAAUGUCUGCCACUAAAUCUGAAUAAAAAAUAUUUUAAGAAAUGA